AGGUAGCGAAAUCAUUUGUUUUUUUAUUGAAAACUUGUAUGAGGGGAUGAAUAGGAAUUUAUUUAUAAUUGUUGCUUUUCUUGAAUUUGGUUUUUUCAUGAAAAACUGAAAGCUUUUCUAAAGACGAGAAGACCCCAAAAUCUUUAUUUUAGAAGGAUUUUUUUUAAUUUUUAUUUGGGGGAAAGUUUUAUGGUUAUAAGGAGUUUUUUUAGAUUGAACUUUUUUAGGUUGGUUGGAUAGAUACUUUGGGGAUAACAGGAUUAUUUUUCUUUGAAGUUCUUAUUUUAAGGGGAGAUUGUUACCU
This 304-nucleotide ribosomal RNA is filed under the name Demodex sp. RNAcentral's name for it is "partial large subunit ribosomal RNA". Lineage: Eukaryota; Metazoa; Arthropoda; Arachnida; Trombidiformes; Demodicidae. The record is from RNAcentral.